This 146-nucleotide unclassified non-coding RNA is filed under the name uncultured Mycosphaerellaceae. Lineage: Eukaryota; Fungi; Ascomycota; Dothideomycetes; Mycosphaerellales; Mycosphaerellaceae. The record is from RNAcentral.
CCGAGUGAGGGCCUUCGGGCUCGACCUCCAACCCUUUGUGAACACAUCUUGUUGCUUCGGGGGCGACCCUGCCGUUCCGACGGCGAGCGCCCCCGGAGGCCUUCAAACACUGCAUCUUUGCGUCGGAGUUUAAGUAAAUUUAAACA